Small nucleolar RNA from Tachyglossus aculeatus (Australian echidna), 138 nucleotides. Lineage: Eukaryota; Metazoa; Chordata; Mammalia; Monotremata; Tachyglossidae. The record is from RefSeq and is a predicted model, not a curated record.
CCCCUUUCAGGAUCGCAACUGGAGAGUUUCCAGUACUCUGCCAGUCUUGGCUAUGGGAGGGAGAGUCAAGUAGAGACAGACCCAUUCCAUUCCUAGAUUGGACAGUGACUAGCGAGUGGACGGCAAUCUGCUACAAGU